Molecule: long non-coding RNA, 1918 nt
Organism: Lolium perenne
Lineage: Eukaryota; Viridiplantae; Streptophyta; Magnoliopsida; Poales; Poaceae
Source: RefSeq, a predicted model, not a curated record
AAAAAUCCCUACGCAUAUUCCUCCGCCACCCCACUCUUCUUCUCUCCCUCUCCAGCCACAUGUCUCUUCUCUCCAGCCACCGCGCCCACAGGAUGUGCUCUCCGUCGCCGCACUGUUCCCCUCCAGAUACAACCUCCGUUUCACCCAUCGCCUCCUCGACUGUGAGGACCACCCAGUCGCUUCACGGCCUCGCGGCGGCGGGAUCCGCCCCACCCCUCUCUUCCUAGCCCAUCGAUUCCGCCCCCUGCCGCCGGAUUCCCCGGUCUCCUUGCUGCCGGAUGCGGCCUUUCCCGGCGUCCCUGCCGCCGGAUCCGGCUGCACCCGACCCUGCUUGCUCUCCCGAGUAUCGGCUCCGAGGGCGAGGCCCACCAGACCACCGCCGUCUCCUCUAGGAAGGACCGGAAGGAUAACUGGUUGCCAGAUCUUGUGCCUCGACAACUUCUUCUUCGGCCAGUUUGGCGCCGGGAGCAACUGGGCCAAGGGACCCUACACCAAGGGCGCCGAGCUCAUUGACUGUGUCCUCGACGUCGUCCGCAUGGAGGCCAAGAACUGCGACUGCCUCGAUGCUCACUGGAAAUAAAUUGGUACAUGAGGGUGGGGAGUAAAACUAAACAAGUUAGCAUGGGGAUUGGUUGCAUUCGUGUGGUGUGAAAAAAUGAUGGCUGCAAGCCUGCGCUGAUGGCUUCUAUUAAAUCUGGACCUGAACGCGACAUGAUGCUUACCUGUGUUCUGGAGUGGGUCAACCCAGGCUACGACACUAUGGUCACAACAUUGAAUUAACUGCAGUGUGCUUUCUCCCGAGAACAAAUGGAUUUACCUCAACCUAGUACAUAAUGGGCAGCUGAUUCUUUUCCUCAUUAUACUAUGUGUGUUACAUUGUAAGGUUAAAAGUUCAGUCAUGAUUGCUGAGUUGAUGACCAUGGUCUAUGUUCAGUAAUGCUGGAAGUAGUCCUAAUAGUUAAGUACUGUCGUUCGUGUUGUUUGCAUGUCAUCUAAUGCAUUUAACUACUUUCUGAAAUUGCAAGAUGAGCAUACAUAUAAUUAGAUGGGUAGUAGUUUGUUGUCUGGCUUGUCAUAUCUACUGGCUAGUGUGUUGCAUGCCUGUGUAAGACAAUACUGUCAUAAUUACUACUGGUUUUGGUGGAUUGUUAAGCUAUAGGAGUUGAUGCAUUAGGUUGGAAUGCAUUGUAUGUGGCUACUGAAUUCAUCUCCUAUGUAAUGGAUUAGGUUUUUUCUUGUAUUCUCGGUUGUAUUCAAUGGAGAUAUGUUAUACAUCAUCUUUCCCUCUAGUAGUAGUAGUACUACUACUACUGGUUUAUGUAUACUACCUGUUACAGUUUUCAUUACUAAGAUCUUCAUUACUAAGAUCAAGCCGGUAGCCCAGGUCCUGAAGUACUUAUUUUGAUUACAUCAUGAGGUUCUCUAAAAAUUUCAAAUGCAUGAUGGCGUUACAGACCCAAAGAUUUCUUAUGGUACUUCUUGAACAGUUUCUUUCCGGCUAGCUCUUGGGACCGCAGGGCUGACUUUUGCACAAAUGAGCACCUGCAAUGCCCAGCGUCAACAAUGAUGCGGACCAGAUCUUCAACUGCAGCCCCAUCCAUCGCAUCUUCACGUAGUCAGGUUGUUAACCGCAUCAUCAAGAAGAGGAUUCGUGUCAGUGUGGAGCAUUGCAGCCAUCCAUGGCUAGGAGUUCCAGCUGACUCGACCCAGUUGCUGCUAUCUCCUUCAUCCAUGAGGAGUUCUAUGGCAAAAAAAAUCAAAGAAUUUCGUUACUUCUAGAGGUGUUGGCCUAGUUUUGGGAACUAGUACUAUGUUGGACUAGUUGUGGGAGCUAGUGAUCGACCUGUGAGAUGUAUAUUCUGGGGAAUUGUGAAUCUGUUAUUUGAUAUGUGCUGAGAAAAUUUACUGUUAUUUGAUA